UUGCCUCAAUUAUGUAUGAGUACCCGCUGAACUUAAGCAUAUCGUUAAGCGGAGGAAAAGAAACUAAAUAGGAUUUCCAUAGUAACUGCGAGUGAACUGGAAUUAGCCCAUCACGAAAUCUAUAUUGUUAUUACAAUAUCGAAAUGUCGUGUAUAGGUUUUACUAUUCUUAAUAAAUUUUUAUUAAAUAAUUGUAUUUAAAUAUACAGCCACAGAAGGUGCCAGCCCUGUCGUUUAAUAAAAUUUAUUAAAUUUGUAAAACUUUAGAGUCGUGUUGCUUGGAAGUGCAGCACAAAGUUGGUGAUAAACAUCAUCUAAGGCUAAAUAUUCCUAUGAAUCCGAUAGCGAACAAGUACUGUGAAGGAAAAUUGCAAAGUACUCCGGAGAGAGAGUUAAAGAGGACGUGAAACCGAUACGAUGGAAGCAUACAGAGCCAGUUGCACUAUUAUUAAUUUUAUUAAUAAUUUUAAGCAUGGGUAUAUUGAUUAAUGAUUAGUUAUCUAUUAAAGAGUGGUAAAAAUUUUAUAUUUUUGCUAACUUUAAUAGAAUAAUUAUAUCUUUAAUUAAUAUUUUUUUAUUAUUAAUUGUUCUAAUAAUUUUAUAAAUAUCAAUAUUAUAUAAGACACAUGUGUUAAGUAUAAUUUUAAUUGAUGUUUAUAUUAUUAUUGUAAAUUAAUAUUCCUAUGUAAUCCUGGUAUGCUGUAUGUCCCGUCUUGAAACACGGACCAAGGAGUGUAUUGCUAUGGCAAGUCAUUGAUAUUGUUAAUAUCAAAGGCAUAAUGAAAAUAAAUAAUAUCUCAGAUCUUGUUAUUUUUAAUAAUAAGCGCAUGAGAGACGUAAAUAUAUGAUUUAUUCAUUGUUUGCAGUUAUAGCCAUAGUAGUGCGACCCGAAAGAUGGUGAACUAUACUAGUGCAGGGUGAAGUCAGAAGAAAUUCUGAUGGAAGCUCGAAGCGGUCCUGACGUGCAAAUCGGUCGUCUGACAUUAGUAUAGGGGCGAAAGACUAAUCGAACCAUCUAGUAGCUGGUUCCGGCCGAAGUUUCCCCCAGGAUAGCUGAAACUGUUAUACAGAUACAUCCGGUAAAGCUAAUGUUUAGAGGAAUAGGGGAUAAUAUAUCCUUUAUCUAUUUACAAACUAUAAAUGGGUGUGAUAUUAUGAUUACUUAAUUGAAUCAUGAUUUCGAUUGUAUAGUUUCAAGUGGGCCAUUUUUGGUAAGCAGAACUGGCGACGUGGGAUGAACCAAAAGUAUUGUUAAAGUGCCUAAAUUUUUGCUCAUCAGACCCCAUAAAAAGUGUUGUUUGAUCCUGACAGCAGGGCGGUGGCCAUGGAAGUCGGAACCCGCUAAGGAUCGUGUAACAACUCACCUGCCGAAUCAAGCAGCCUUGAAAAUGGAUGGCGCUUGAGCAAAAUACUUAGACAAUACCAUAUAUUAUAAUGUAAUAAUAAUAAUAUAUGUGUAGGCUGGCGUAGUAAUAGCAUUGAAGGUUAUAAGCGUAAGCUUGACUGGAGCUGUUAUUAGUGCAGAUCUUGGUGAUAGUAGCAAAUACACAAGUGAGAAUCUUGUGGACCGAAGUGGAAAAGGGUUUCACGUCAACAUCAUUUGACUGUGAGUUAGUCGGUCCUAAGCUAAAAUUGAAAAAUUUUUAUUCAUACUUAGCGAAAGGGAAAUAGAUUAAUAUUUCUAUACUAUUUAUGGAGAUAAUAUAGGAUUAAAACUAUAUUAUGCGUGGUAACACAAAUGAAACUAACUACAACUUAACAAGUUUUGGAUAGAGAUAUCUUCUCUAUUUAAGUUAUUAAAUCUAUGAAAAUUGCUCAGCAAGAGAUAUAGAUGAAGUUUAACGUAGAGUACUAACAUUUUGUUGGUAUCCAAAGUGCUUGUUAGGUUACUUAAAAAGUUAGUGAAAGCAUAAUAAAUUUCAUAAAUUAACCGUACCCAUAUCCGCAACAGGUUUCCAAGAUGUUUAGUCUCUGGUCGAUGAAAUAAUGUAGGUAAGGGAAGUCGGCAAAAUAGAUUCGUAACUUUGGGAAAAGAAUUGGCUCUUGAGAUGUAGAUAUUCGGGUAUUAUGUAUCUAAUGGUUAUUUAAUUAUUAUAAAAUGAAUACUAGCAAUAGUUAUUUGAUUUAUAAUUAUUAAUAAUCAUUAACAUAAUGCUUACAUAUAUUUGUAAUAUAAUAUAUUAACGAAUAUCAAUUUAUAUACAUUAAUCAAGAACUGGCACGGACAAGAGGAAUCCGACUGUCUAAUUAAAACAGAGGAGACAGAUGAUGCUAGAUGCAUGUAGACUGUGUCUGAUUUCUGCCCAGUGCAAUGAAUGUUAUCAUUGGGAAACCAAUUGAAGCUCUUGUAAACGGCGGGAGUAACUAUGACUCUCUUAAGGUAGCCAAAUGCCUCGUCGGGUAAUUUCCGACGCGCACGAAUGGAUUAACGAGAUUCCUACUGUCCCUAUCUACCAUUCAGCGAAAUCACAGCCAAGGGAACGGGCUUGGCAAAAACAGCGGGGAAAGAAGACCCUGUUGAGCUUGACUCUAGCUAGGCAUUGUGAAGUGUCAUAUGAGGUGUAGCAUAGGUGGGAGUUAUUAUAUAACGAUCUUGAAAUACCACUACUUAUAUUGAUAUUUUACUUAGUUGAUUAAAUGGAAAUUUUAUACUAACAAGUAUAAUAAUUGUUGUAUUAAAUUAAUAUCUUUGAGAUAUUUAAUAAUCCACGUCAAUGACCAUGUCUGGCGGGGAGUUUGACUGGGGCGGUACAUCUAUCAAACUGUAACGUAGGUGUCCUAAGGCAAACUCAAAGAGGACAGAAACCUCUUGUAGAGUAAAAGGGCAAAAGUUUGCUUGAUCAUGAUUUUCAGUACGAAUACAGACCCUGAAAGGGUGGCCUAUCGAUCCUUUUGUAUUAGUAUGUUUCUAAAAAGAGGUGCCAGAAAAGUUACCACAGGGAUAACUGGCUUGUGGCAGCCAAGAGUCCAUAUCGACGUUGCUUUUUGAUCCUUCGAUGUCGGCUCUUCCUAUCAUUGCGAAGCAGAUUUCGCCAAGCGUUGGAUUGUUCACCCACUAAUAGGGAACGUGAGCUGGGUUUAGACCGUCGUGAGACAGGUUAGUUUUAUCCUACUGUUGAUUUAUUUGUUGUUGAAAUAGUAAUCUAACUUAGUACGAGAGGAACCGUUAGAUCAGCUAAUUGGUAUAUAAUGUUAUUGGAAACAAUAAUGCAUUGAAUCUACCAGCUGCAGAAUUAUGACUGAACGCCUCUAAGUCAG
RNAcentral lists this ribosomal RNA (3257 nucleotides) under Strongyloides robustus. RNAcentral's name for it is "eukaryotic LSU rRNA". It matches the Rfam family "Eukaryotic large subunit ribosomal RNA". The record is from RNAcentral. Lineage: Eukaryota; Metazoa; Nematoda; Chromadorea; Rhabditida; Strongyloididae.